CACGUAGGGGGCAAGCGUUGUCCGGAUUUAUUGGGCGUAAGGAGCUCGUAGGCGGCUCGGUAAGUCGGGUGUGAAACCUCCAGGCUCAACCUGGAGACGCCACUCGAUACUGCCGUGGCUAGAGUCCGGUAGAGGAGCGUAGAAUUCCUGGUGUAGCGGUGAAAUGCGCAGAUAUCAGGAGGAAUACCAGCGGCGAAGGCGGCGCUCUGGGCCGGUACUGACGCUGAGGAGCGAAAGCGUGGGGAGCAAACAGG
Molecule: ribosomal RNA, 254 nt
Filed under: uncultured bacterium
Lineage: Bacteria
Description: partial 16S ribosomal RNA
Rfam family: Bacterial small subunit ribosomal RNA
Source: RNAcentral